AUUGAACGCUGGCGGCAUGCCUUACACAUGCAAGUCGAACGGCAGCGCGGGGCAACCUGGCGGCGAGUGGCGAACGGGUGAGUAAUAUAUCGGAACGUACCCUAGAGUGGGGGAGUAACGUAGCGAAAGUUAACGUCUAAUACCGCAUACGAUCUAAGGAUGAAAGUAGGGGGAGUCGCAAGACCUCAUGCUCGUGGAGCGGCCGAUAUCUGAUUAGCUAGUUGGUGGGGAAAGGCCUACCAAGGCAUCGAUCAGUAGCUGGUCUGAGAGGACGACCAGCCACACUGGAACUGAGACACGGUCCAGACUCCUACGGGAGGCAGCAGUGGGGAAUUUUGGACAAUGGGCGCAAGCCUGAUCCAGCAAUGCCGCGUGAGUGAAGAAGGCC
This 388-nucleotide ribosomal RNA is filed under the name uncultured bacterium. RNAcentral's name for it is "bacterial SSU rRNA". It matches the Rfam family "Bacterial small subunit ribosomal RNA", at positions 30 to 416 of the family's 1533-position model. The record is from RNAcentral.